AUUGAACGCUGGCGGAAUGCUUUACACAUGCAAGUCGAACGGCAGCACGGGGGCAACCCUGGUGGCGAGUGGCGAACGGGUGAGUAAUACAUCGGAACGUGCCCGGUCGUGGGGGAUAACGUAGCGAAAGUUACGCUAAUACCGCAUACGAUCUGAGGAUGAAAGCGGGGGACCUUCGGGCCUCGCGCGAUCGGAGCGGCCGAUGUCAGAUUAGGUAGUUGGUGGGGUAAAGGCCUACCAAGCCGACGAUCUGUAGCUGGUCUGAGAGGACGACCAGCCACACUGGGACUGAGACACGGCCCAGACUCCUACGGGAGGCAGCAGUGGGGAAUUUUGGACAAUGGGCGCAAGCCUGAUCCAGCCAUUCCGCGCGCAGGACGAAGGCCUUCGGGUUGUAAACUGCUUUUGUAUGGAACGAAAAGGCUCUGGCUAAUACCUGGGGCUCAUGACGGUACCGUAAGAAUAAGCACCGGCUAACUACGUG
This 484-nucleotide ribosomal RNA is filed under the name uncultured bacterium. RNAcentral describes it as "partial 16S ribosomal RNA". It matches the Rfam family "Bacterial small subunit ribosomal RNA", at positions 30 to 507 of the family's 1533-position model. The record is from RNAcentral.